GAUGAACGCUGGCGGCGUGCCUAAUACAUGCAAGUCGAGCGAACGGACGAGAAGCUUGCUUCUCUGAUGUUAGCGGCGGACGUGUGAGUAACACGUGUAUAACCUACCUAUAAGACUGGGAUAACUUCGGGAAACCGUAUCUAAUACCGGAUAAUAUUUUGAACCGCAUGGUUCAAAAGUGAAAGACGGUCUUGCUGUCACUUAUAGAUGGAUCCGCGCUGCAUUAGCUAGUUGGUAAGGUAACGGCUUACCAAGGCAACGAUGCAUAGCCGACCUGAGAGGGUGAUCGGCCACACUGGAACUGAGACACGGUCCAGACGCCUACGGGAGGCAGCAGUAGGGAAUAUUCCGCAAUGGGCGAAAGCCUGACGGAGCAACGCCGCGUGAGUGAUGAAGGUCUUCGGAUCGUAAAACUCUGUUAUUAGGGAAGAACAUAUGUGUAAGUAACUGUGCACAUCGUGACGGUACCUAAUCAGAAAGCCACGGCUAACUACGUG
This 497-nucleotide ribosomal RNA is filed under the name uncultured bacterium. RNAcentral's name for it is "partial 16S ribosomal RNA". It matches the Rfam family "Bacterial small subunit ribosomal RNA", at positions 28 to 507 of the family's 1533-position model. The record is from RNAcentral.